ACGUCUCAGUUCGGAUUGUAGUCUGCAACUCGACUACAUGAAGCUGGAAUCGCUAGUAAUCGCGAAUCAGAAUGUCGCGGUGAAUACGUUCCCGGGUCUUGUACACACCGCCCGUCACACCAUGGGAGUUGGUAACGCCCGAAGUCAGUGACCUAACCGAGAGGGAGGAGCUGCCGAAGGCGGGACUGAUAGCUGGGGUGAAGUCGUAACAAGGUAGC
RNAcentral lists this ribosomal RNA (218 nucleotides) under uncultured bacterium. Its description in RNAcentral is "partial 16S ribosomal RNA". It matches the Rfam family "Bacterial small subunit ribosomal RNA", at positions 1283 to 1500 of the family's 1533-position model. The record is from RNAcentral.